RNAcentral lists this ribosomal RNA (257 nucleotides) under uncultured bacterium. Its description in RNAcentral is "partial 16S ribosomal RNA". It matches the Rfam family "Bacterial small subunit ribosomal RNA", at positions 524 to 776 of the family's 1533-position model. The record is from RNAcentral.
UACGAAGGGGGGCUAGCGUUGCUCGGAAUUACUGGGCGUAAAGGGCGCGUAGGCGGUUCUAUAAGUCAGGCGUGAAAUUCCUGGGCUUAACCUGGGGGGCUGCGCUUGAGACUGUGGGACUUGAGGUCAGAAGAGGGUCGUGGAAUUCCCCAGUGUAGAGGUGAAAUUCGUAGAUAUUGGGAAGAACACCGGUGGCGAAGGCGGCGACCUGGUCUGAUACUGACGCUGAGGCGCGACAGCGUGGGGGAGCAAACAGG